AGAAGAAGAAGAAGAAAAGGAGGAAGAAAGAGGGGGCUGUUUGAAGCCGUAUGCGGAGGAGAGAGAAGAAUCCCGAUGGGCGGCGGAAGAUGCUCUUAUGGCUUUAGCGGCAAGUGAAGUUGAAGAAUAAGAAGAGUUGGUGGUGUCAUCGUCUUCCACUUCCUCGUCAUAGGAAGUGGAGAUUGAAGGCUUUGUAGUAGCAGUAUGUUGCUUCCUUCUAUAAGCCAUUUGUAAGAAAUAGGGAGAGAUAAAAAUCAGAAGGAAUUAGCAGAAGAAGAAGAAGAAGAAG
RNAcentral lists this unclassified non-coding RNA (289 nucleotides) under Hevea brasiliensis (rubber tree). The record is from RNAcentral. Lineage: Eukaryota; Viridiplantae; Streptophyta; Magnoliopsida; Malpighiales; Euphorbiaceae.